RNAcentral lists this transfer RNA (73 nucleotides) under Camelus bactrianus (Bactrian camel). It matches the Rfam family "tRNA". Rfam says of the family: Transfer RNA (tRNA) molecules are approximately 80 nucleotides in length. Lineage: Eukaryota; Metazoa; Chordata; Mammalia; Artiodactyla; Camelidae. The record is from Rfam by way of RNAcentral. RNAcentral also lists the same sequence under 2 other names.
GAGGGUACAGCUCAAGUGGUAGAGUACAUGCUUGGCAUGCAUGAGGUCCUGGGUUCAAUCCCCGGUACCUCCU